RNAcentral lists this non-coding RNA (177 nucleotides) under Enterococcus faecalis V583. Its description in RNAcentral is "Enterococcus sRNA B11". It matches the Rfam family "Enterococcus sRNA B11". From Rfam's summary of the family: Name 'Ref' stands for RNA in E. faecalis. Lineage: Bacteria; Bacillati; Bacillota; Bacilli; Lactobacillales; Enterococcaceae. The record is from Rfam by way of RNAcentral.
GGCAGCUCGCCUCGAUUGGAGGUGUGUUAUUUGUGAAAGAUUUAAUGUCGUUGGUUAUCGCACCAAUCUUUGUAGGAUUGGUUCUGGAAAUGAUUUCUCGUGUGUUGGACGAGGAAGACGAUAGCCGAAAGUAAGCUGCUAUCAACACACACGCUAGAAGUCGCAACUAGUGUAAAA